Molecule: ribosomal RNA, 274 nt
Filed under: uncultured bacterium
Lineage: Bacteria
Description: partial 16S ribosomal RNA
Rfam family: Bacterial small subunit ribosomal RNA
Source: RNAcentral
AUACGGAGGGUGCAAGCGUUACUCGGAAUCACUGGGCGUAAAGCGCGCGCAGGCGGGCUGAUAAGUUGGAUGUGAAAGCCUACGGCUCAACCGUAGAACUGCAUCCAAAACUGUCAGGCUAGAGUGUGGGAGAGGAAGAUGGAAUUAGUUGUGUAGGGGUAAAAUCCGUAGAGAUAACUAGGAAUACCAAAAGCGAAGGCAAUCUUCUGGAACACUACUGACGCUGAGGCGCGAAGGCGUGGGGAGCAAACAGGAUUAGAAACCCCUGUAGUCC